RNAcentral lists this ribosomal RNA (518 nucleotides) under uncultured prokaryote. RNAcentral describes it as "bacterial SSU rRNA". It matches the Rfam family "Bacterial small subunit ribosomal RNA", at positions 953 to 1482 of the family's 1533-position model. The record is from RNAcentral.
GAUGAUACGCGAGGANCCUUACCUGGGCUUAAAUUGCAGUGGAAUAACGUGGAAACAUGUUAGCCUUCGGGCCGCUGUGAAGGUGCUGCAUGGUUGUCGUCAGCUCGUNCCGUGAGGUGUCGGCUUAAGUGCCAUAACGAGCGCAACCCUCAUCGAUAGUUACUAACAGGUUAAGCUGAGGACUCUAUCGAGACUGCCGACGUAAGUCGUGAGGAAGGUGGGGAUGACGUCAAAUCAGCACGGCCCUUACGUCCAGGGCUACACACGUGUUACAAUGGGGGGUACAAAGGGCAGCUACCUGGCGACAGGAUGCUAAUCUCAAAAACCUCUCUCAGUUCGGAUUGGAGUCUGCAACCCGACUCCAUGAAGCUGGAUUCGCUAGUAAUCGCGCAUCAGCCACGGCGCGGUGAAUACGUUCCCGGGCCUUGUACACACCGCCCGUCAAGCCAUGGGAGCCGGGGGGACCUGAAGUAUGCAACCGUAAGGAGCGUCCUAGGGUAAAACUGGUGACUGGGGCU